CCUACGGGAGGCAGCAGUAGGGAAUAUUGCUCAAUGGGGGAAACCCUGAAGCAGCAACGCCGCGUGGAGGAUGAAGGUUUUCGGAGUGUAAACUCCUUUUGUUAAAGAAGAUAAUGACGGUAUCUAACGAAUAAGCACCGGGUAACUCCGUGCCAGCAGCCGCGGUAAUACGGAGGGUGCAAGCGUUACUCGGAAUAACUGGGCGUAAAGAGCGCGUAGGCGGGAUAGCAAGUCAGAUGUGAAAUCUUAUGGCUUAACCAUAGAACUGCAUUUGAAACUGUUAUUCUAGAGUACAGGAGAGGUAGGUGGAAUUCGUGGUGUAGGGGUGAAAUGCGUAGAGAUCACGAGGAAUACUCAUUGCGAAGGCGACCUGCUAGAACGUAACUGACGCUGAUGCGCGAAAGCGUGGGUAGCAAACAGGAUUAGAUACCCGUGUAGUC
RNAcentral lists this ribosomal RNA (440 nucleotides) under uncultured bacterium. RNAcentral's name for it is "partial 16S ribosomal RNA". It matches the Rfam family "Bacterial small subunit ribosomal RNA", at positions 338 to 795 of the family's 1533-position model. The record is from RNAcentral.